GACCUACUUUUGAGAUGCUUGAGUAUCAUUCAUGGCGGCAGUGCUAACCAAACCUAUUCCUCCUUAGGCUUCACCUUCUGGAGACAGUACAUCGUCUCUCCUUGCCCCAAGGAAGAGCAGAUGCACACAGUUUAGAUGCAUGCCGGGAGCAUUAGGUGAAAGAAGAAUGCGUCCCAGCAAGAAGACUCCUGCCCACUCUCACCAGUUUGCUCGAACUGAGUUCCUUGACGGAGGAAGCAGAAAGACGUCUUCUCAGUUGGCGUCAUGUCCUGAUGCGGCUUCCACUGAUCCGUUCUGCAUCAGCCCUCCAUCAGGGGGGUGCAGCCUUCAGACACAGAAAACUGGGGCAGCCAAAAUUGUAGCGAGAAACAUUAACAUGAAACAAGUACUUGGAGAACUCAGAUGUGUGACCCAGCCACUUGAUCAGUAUUCUGGGGAGCUGGCAAAUGAAACCUUUCUCCGUUAAUAGAGCUAUUGUCUGCUGAAAGAGCUUUGAAACAAAGCUGUAGCUGGCCUUGAGUUGUGCUAGGAAAGUGGCCACCUGUGACUAGCUCAUUUCUUUCAAUCUGCUGGUGGAAGCAUGGGAAGGGUGGAGCAGGAAAGGGAAAAGGAUGAAGUUCAGUCUGUUACCCGUCAGCAUCUCUGUCUGGAUUGCAUGAGCCUGAAUCGUCGUACUGAUAAAAGAAAUUCUUACAGAUCCUUUGCAGGGUGUCUGUCCCUUUUUUGUAAGGUAGUGGACAGAGCCGCAAGAUCCUUUGGGUUGGCUUUACUACUUCCAACUCUCUCCAAAUAAAUGCCUCCUAUGCAUGGUGGCUGAGAAGGAG
Molecule: long non-coding RNA, 824 nt
Filed under: Crocodylus porosus (Australian saltwater crocodile)
Lineage: Eukaryota; Metazoa; Chordata; Crocodylia; Crocodylidae
Description: lncRNA (ENSCPRG00005001949.1)
Source: RNAcentral